CAAAAAAAAACACAGCAGCGACUCCAAGAGAGCGAGUGAGAGGAAAGCAGAACGUGACCUCCCAGCAGAGUUAUCAGGCGGGAUCGGUGACAAGGAAAUCAAGAGCAAAUAAUGAACAUAAGGUGUCAGCAGCCGAAAGGUGAAGUCCAUCAGCCUUCGAAAGGAAGAGCAGGGCACACAAUCACCUCACUAACCCCUUGGUGCAAGUUCAGCUUGCUCAACACAGCUUAAACGUUAAUAUGACAUCAGUGGUGUGCAGACUUCUGAAAAGCCACAGUAAGGUAGCUAAUCCUGCACAGAUGGAGGAGCUUCACGUUAGCUGUUUAUUACCACGGUUCCAGCUUUAGAUAAACUGUCCAAAUCCUGACGUGCACCGCUUCCAGCAGCGCUGGGGGCCAUAUAAGGAACUCGCAGCCCCACCGCUUCGGGUUCUGACUCACACGGCCGGCAGCUCACGGUGGGGCAGUGCGGGAGGUUAUUGCUUCCAGCUGCUCCACCGGCCCCUGCCACCCUCAGAGAUGGGCAGGGGACAGGCAGGGGCUGCUCCUGAGUCACCAGGAAAAUGCCAUUUUUCAUCUCAGAUGUUAUAAACGCGGGGAAGCCACCAGAUUUAAGAAACUCCCACGUUGCUCAACUAAUCUGGCAGCAGCGUCCUGGUUAACGUGUUGGGCUCUUCCAGUUCAUCAGUGCAUCAUUAAUGUAAGUGCAGAGCGAGCAGAACAGAGCCCGUGUGAACUGAAAGCAGGAGUUCCCAUCAAGGGAUGGACACCCCAGGAGGAAUUAAGUGACAAAGCCACACAUUGCAGUGCUGAAAAAAUCCCAACUCUUUUCUGACCUCCGCGCAGAAAGCAUUCCUAUUGUACCUCACAUUUCCUGUUUGUGCUAGUCCGCAAUCCGGCUACCAACGAAAGCCUCCCCAGCAGUUGCUCCACUUGGCUCUACCAGCAAGCAAGCAGAGAUCCACGCUUAAAAAACAAAAACACAAACAACUGCAGACAGCCAAAACCCGCUCUGCACUUUUGACCUGUAAGGAAUUUGCUUCCAUUCAUCCCCCGCCACUCUGGAUUUUAACAGACCAUAUGCAGAAAGGCCGUUUAUCGGCCAGUUUUCACACGAGGCGUUUUGAUAGGCAUUAACUCUAAGCUGAUUUUCUGCGCCUCGGUCGCAUCUUUUGCGAUCCGUUUGGUGAAGCGAAAGCAGAUCACACGGAGAUGGCAAGGGCAGCGCGGCUCCAGCCGAGCGCUCCACCUAGUGUCGCUGCUGCCAGCUCAUUCACGUCGCUCUGCAGCAGCAGAUGGACCUCUCCAAGAUGCACAAACAAGAAAUUCCUGACAAGUUACCCGCAGUCAUCUUCUUCUGGCAAUUGGGUGAUUCGUGCCAUUUGUAUUUUAACGUAGGAACGGCAUAAAAGAAAACAUAAGGCUAAAAAAAACCAACCACGUGCUGCUAAAACCAGUAUCUGGAGUCGUUAAUCAUAAUAGUUUUAUUUCCUACAGAACCACAUGGUGAUUACUAUUUUUAAAGUGGUGUUUUUAAAGAAUUGUGAAAAACCUUUAAUGGACUUUGGGAAAAAAAGCCAGCAGACUUGUUUUGAAAGUGUCAGAAUAAAAAGGAUUCUUGGAAGAGUGGCCUGCUUCCACAUUUCUGUGCUGAGACCUGCUCUGUGCCAGCCCUUAGCUCACUGCCAAUUUGCAGACAGAGGAUUGUUUCCCAAAAAGCCAUGUCAAAUUUUACAUUUACUGCUUGCGACAAUUCUGUCCAAGGGGACAGAAUUAAACUAAGAGCCAAUGCAGCAGAUAACGUUAGCUCCUUUAUAAUCUAUAUAGGAAGUUCUCGAAUCACAGAAAUAGCAAUAAAAACCUACGAGCAAACUAACAGGAUUGACCUUUCCCUCCUACACCACAAUGUUUUCAGCGGGAAUGUUCUGACAAUGAACAUUCUGGUGACCCACAAAAUCCAAAUCAGAUGUGAACGGAUAUAAAGCAGGGGCAGUAAUGUGCCCCCAAAGGGAGACUGCUUUGGAUUGUAACCUCUGCUUUAAACACAACUGCUAGUUCCAACUCCUGUCUUCUCAGCUAACCCCAAGAUCUCUCCUGCAACUUGAAUCCACCUCGCUCCACAUUGUGGCUGGCGUGAGAUGCUCCGAAGAAUCCAGACAAAUGACAGUUUUCAACCCUGGAAAAACAGCCACCCAGGCCAGAGUCAUUCCUAUCCUGCAGCUAUUGCAUAACUAUUUCUGCGAGCGAUUUGCCCAGCUAACAGGCUGCGCUUAUGAGCAGCUCGAUACGAAAUAGCUGUGUGCAAUAUGCAGAGGGCUAUAUUUAAGAAAGAUGCACCUGUGUCACAGCUGAAGCAGUUCAGGCACUGCGCGAACAGGUGCCUACAUGCCAUCAAUUCCUGCCCGUUGGCCCUUGAUGGCAGAGACAAUGCUGCAAGCAUCAACAAGAGCUCCGCAGCACAUGGGUGGGCCCGGGAGCAUUGUUCUCUAAGCAUGUAAUUGCAUUCCCAGCAAUCUCACUGUACAUACACAUUUAAAACAAGCAAUUAAUUACGAACAAUUUUAAAAUACUUACUGAGUCUACUUUUUACUGCCUGCAAAUCCAGGCACUAAAGCAGAAGGAUUUUUUUGUUUUUUUUUUAAACUUUUAAUUUCUUUGAAUCAACAUAAUCAAGAGAUGUAAUUAAAGUGCACAGAACAUGUAAAGUAGGUAUACAUUACUGUAAAAUUCAAUUGUGAUUUUACCACCUGAACUAUAUUUUACUUUUAGAGGAAGGUGCUGCACAAUUAAAAUAGCAAAUUAUUUAAAACUCCCCCUUCUGAAAGCCAGAGCUCCUAACUGCUUUGUUUCCAAACGGAUUAAAUACAGAACACUACUAAAUCAGCAGAUAUUAAAGACUGUAUUACUCCAUUGAUAGUAAGUUCCAUAUACAUACUGCUGGCAGAGCUGUAUUGACAAGAAAAUUAUCAGUUCUGCAGCUUAAAAUGGCAACACGCUCUCAGGGCAGUAAGCUUGUGUUCUUACACUCCCACUGCCAUCUAGUGGCACAAAGCCCGUAUGUUCCACCAAGUUAUGAACUGUUCAAUGUUCGGGCACGUUUAGUGCCAAGGAAGUGUAUUUUUUCUGAAUUUACAGUCCUUGCUACUCACUAAAUCUUGCACAGGAGAAAAAAAGUAAAAUGUGUCCUUGCUUCUCUUACUGCGCUCACCGCCUUUAUGCAAUUCCCUCAACAGAAAAAUGCUCAUCUCUAUUGCAUAUUUAAAGCAAACAAACAAGUAUUUCUCCUGUAUUGAUACACAUUAGAAGUUGAUGGUAUGAUUACAUCUUACUCUAUAACCACCUUCUAAUUGAGUGCAGUCUGUUUUUCCCCCCAAAAUUGUGAAAUCUUACCUCUUACAUUCCAAAAAAAUAAUUUCACUACACCUGCAAUAAA
Molecule: non-coding RNA, 3432 nt
Organism: Anas platyrhynchos (mallard)
Lineage: Eukaryota; Metazoa; Chordata; Aves; Anseriformes; Anatidae
Source: RefSeq, a predicted model, not a curated record